AAGGGUCACAACCAGCAGUUUAGAAAUCACUGUUCUGUGGGUAAGAGGUGAGACAAAUGGGCAUUCGUCUCAAUCUGCUCUUCUCCACUGUUCCACAUUCCUGGGAUCUAGAAUUAAUCCACUGGACAAGAAUUUUCCCUCAGUUUAAUAAAAGAUGGAGUGAUUAACAUAUGUUCCAUAUUAUAAAAAACAGAUUUUUAAGAACAGAUGUGCAAAUCCUAACUCCAUUACUUUAUUUAAAAAAAACAUUUGGUUUUCCUUGAAGAUUCCAUGGAUCAUAGUCAUCUAGUUUGGAUUGACAUCACUGCAAUAAUAAUAAAAACAUCAUUUUGCUGCCUAACAAUCAUGUUACUUAUUUCCAGACAUAGAUGCAAAUGGUUAUCUUGUUAAAGAAGCAAAAACCAGUAUUUAGCCCCACUUACCCAAAGCCCCUGAGCCUUCUCACACAACACUUGCUCCUCUUGUAAUGAAAUACAUUAAUUUAACCUUCAAAUUUGUCUCUGAUGCUUCCAUUAACACUGAUCCACAUCAGAACCUUCAACUCAGAAACACACACACUAACAUCAUUCUUCCUUUUCCUCUCACGCUAAUUCAAUUUCUGAAGUCAUUUUCCAUUUUAAAGACAGUUUGAGAGAUCAAGGAAAACAUUAGGGAUUUUAUCACUUCUCUUUAGAUAAAGCAUUACCAAUUAGAUUUACAUACAGGUUUUUACUAGAUUAAUCAUAAACACAUGGUUUAUUCCUUUAAAUUCCAGCUAAUUGCCUUCGGGCUCAUGUUGUCUUGCACCACUUACUCAGCACAUCUCUCCAUUUGUUCACCAUUCCAGAAAGGUUAGAGGAUGUGAGGCACAUUAACUCAUUAGCUGGUAUGAAAAUAAAGCAGUUGUCGGCAUUCAAAACUCACUUUAUUCCAGCUAUUUCCAUGCUGAGCUCUGAACACUGCACUUCUAAAAGUUAUGGUUCCACUAACCUUCUGUGUUUGUGAGUCUCUUAGGAUAAUGUUCCCUUUCUGAUUGGUUAGGGAUCUAGUUGUUCAUCUAUUUUAUCACAUACACUUGUAUGAGGCAGUCACAGACUCAGAGGUUUCAAAAGUGCAACAGGAAUAGGAUGGCUACUCUAAAUCCCCUAGAUCCUACUGCAUACCCCACCCCACGCCAUACUGCCCAGAUCUAACAGCUCCCAUCUGCACUUCAAACAAGUGCAGGGCCAGAAUGGAGACUUUCCCCCACUAUGUUCCAACUGAACCUGAGUUUACAACUGCUCCCCUCAUCUUCAGUUUGGAUAUGAACCAGUAGCAAACCCCUUGACAAGAAGGACCUAUCUUAGAACAAUCACUCAAUGUACUGAGGCUUCAAACCAUAACCAUUUAGGGAAACUUCAUUCUAUCUCACUUCAACUUCUCAGUUCUUUUCACAAUGGCAAUUCUCUAAGACUCCAUUCAUGGAGGGAAACAAAACCCACUUUAAGUUGACAUAUAUUUAUCUCAGCCACAAGGAACCAAAGUUCUCCAAAGAUUGCAUUUGUUUUACUGAACCAUUCUGGGAAAGUGCUGUGGAAGAGAAAGGUGCUGCCAAGACCAACAGAUAAUAAAGCAAGAUAUCAGUCAGUAGCUACCCCAUCUCCAGAACAGACAGAAACUCAAGCUAUCAUGCAAAAUUAAUUUCCAUUUUUAGGCUAAAUAAAUUCCAUUUGAAAAGGACUGAGGAAAGAUACAAGUCAGCAAACAGAUAACACUUCAUUUAUUUUUAUGCUUUCCUUGAAUAUCUAAUUGGAAGAACUAAUUGUAACAGUCUACUUUUACUGUUUUUCUUGAAAAUACUAAGAGUGCUUCAAUUGCAAUAUUCACUGCUGAAAAUUUUAAGGAUGAAAAUUCCACAGGUGCCUCUGAUCCUUUCCACUUUACGGUUACUUUACAAGGGCUCUCAUUUCAGAGGGCUGCUGUCUUUCUCCACCUAAACUAACAUUGAGGAACAGAGGAUGGGUUGAGUUCACCUCUCACAGGCAAUCAAUGAAACGAUCAUCAAUCAGAGGCUUAAGACCCUAAGAUGAUUCCUACAGGUUAAUAGAGAAAGGGGAAACAGUGAAGAGUCUCUUACUCUGUACCUACAAAAGCAUAUACUUGUUAUUCAGUAAGAUCAUCUGAGCCAGUAGAAGCUGGCAACAUCACCAAUAAAUCACCCAGUGCUGUGACCUCAGUCUGAUGAGCUAGUCAUUAAACAGAGACUGUGGANNNNNNNNNNNNNNNNNNNNNNNNNNNNNNNNNNNNNNNNNNNNNNNNNNNNNNNNNNNNNNNNNNNNNNNNNNNNNNNNNNNNNNNNNNNNNNNNNNNGAGCUAGUCAUUAAACAGAGACUGUGGAUGCACAGAUUUAGGCAAAAUAUAGUCCACAAGAAGAUUUCUUUUAUGAGUAUGAUAUCCAUAACCACUUGGGAAGGGAAGAUUGUCCUAAGAGAUAUUCAAAUCCCCAGUGUUGAGCAAGAGUGAAAAUCCCAUUGCUGUGAGGGUCAAUCCAGGGGUCUCUGAGGUUUCUAGGGAUGGUCCUCCUUAGGGCAGAUGGUACCUCAUGCUGUUGUACUUGGCAAGGGUUGAUGGUUGUGUCAGCGUCUCUGUUCCAGGGUUAUUUGGGGAGGGAAGCACUGCUGUGAUAUGCUGACUGCCUAAUGAGAGGUAGAGAUGCCAGGCAAAGAAGCCAUUGUGUUGAGCAAUGAAGAGUCACCACAAACACAAAUGAUGUACUGGCCUGACACCCAUCAAACAGUUCCAGGACCAGUGACUUAUCUUGAAGGUCAAGCUCGUGUAUUGGUAUGGAUUUUUCCCCAAAGUCUAUAACUGUAUAACAUCCUCAUCACUUCUCAAAAAAACUACAAAAAUAAACUAACGCUAUGCCCUGAACAACAGAGAGAAAAAAUACACACACAUAUGGCACUGAAAAGUUACCAAGUGACUGUAUAGGAGUAUCAAAAAUAGAAUUUUGUACAAAGGAAACCUGCCAGAUCUUAAACUCAAGCCAAACAAAUGUCUUAAGUUUGGGGAACUAUUCAGACUCAGGCAAACUGGAAGAGCUCUUCUGUUUGUGAGCCAGUCCUGCACGCAUUUCAACUCCCUUCAGUCCCAUUGACAAUACCUACCCGGAUUGAAACAGCUGCACUGUCAUAGCUUUCUCUGAAGGAUACGUGCAGCCUUUUCUACCAAUCACAGUUUCACAUAGGUCUAGGUCAGCCUGCAUUUCCUUGAGCCAAUGGAUUUUAUGUGGGUACAUCCUUCAAAACAAAGCCAGCAACACAGAAGGAAGUUUGCUGAGCUGCUUGUAUUAAUAGCUCUCAACCCCUGAGGCCAGAGAAAUCUGCUUAUAUCCUCUGCACACUGGAACUGGAGACGUGGCAGCACCUGCUCCAUGAGUCUCUUUCCCAGCCAAGCUGCUCCCUUGGUUAACUGAGAACACUCGCUUUUAUCUGGCAGGAGAGCUUUCCGUCACCAGGUGUAUGUUUGAGGUUUUUAGAAAAGAGGUUAGGCAUUGCUUACAAAUACUGUUCAUCCACAGAACUUCAUUUCUCCUAGAAAAUGGUGCUUUUGGAUCACACAUGAGGUUUUGAAAAAUACAGCUGCCCUGGCUUCCUGUAAUCUGGAAAGCUUUACAAGAUGAAAGCAUGGUUUCAUUGGAUAAUAAUCCAUUUGCAAUAAGAGUAAGGUCCAUACUACUAUUAAAUGUGUUUAUCCACUGAUUCAUCUGAAUAUUCCUUGAUUUGCUUUAAAUACUAUAAUCAACUGUUGUUACUUAAUUCAAUAUAGAUUUAAGAAAGCAAUUGGAGUCUCACAGGUGGUCUGAACUCACAACAUUGCUCAUAUUUGCUGCACUCCCAGAGCAGAAAGNNNNNNNNNNNNNNNUUUUUUUUUUUUUCUCUUUACUUUGGAGCAUGGAGACACAAAGCUUUUAUGCAGGAACUCAUUCCCCAAAUUUGAGACUGAUGCUUGCUAGCUUAUGUUUCCAUUUAAACAAAUCUCUAACUAAGCACACGUGAAAACGAUAUGACCUUUCCUUCGAUACAAAUCUAGCAUCAAACAUUGGCAGGCAAAAUUUAAAUCACUUCCUGAAUUGCUAAACAGUUACACAAAAAGAGUCACCAAAACAACACGUUCAUACUUCUCCCUUCCAUUUAUAUAGCAUUCCUCUUUCCAAAUUAAAAACCAUAGUUUCCCAGCAAUUACUGUUUAUUGUGGUUAAGCUACUGAUGCCUAAUAACGUAAUUACAUGUGAUAAAAAAGGAGUGAGGAGGGAGAGGAGACAUGUGCCGCUGAAAUGAUUAAAACUCAACCUGUUAUUAUUUCCAUAUUGCAUCACUGUAACAUGAAUGCUUUUGUGAGAAGCUGUGCUCGGACUUCUGAGCAUUAGAAAGUUUCUGCCUUCAACCAAGUCAACCAAAAUGAGCACACAAAGUUUGUUUUGAAAAUACAGGUGAUUUCAGCCCACAGUGGAGACCCACACUAGUGAAGGUCUCAUUACCGAAAUCAAUUAUUCUUAUUUCAUUCAUUGGUUCCACAAAAAAAGACUGAGAGCCGUGUAUGCCAGGGGACAUGCUAAACAUUCAGACAACACUGAAUCUAUUUUAGACACGGCUCUAAAUGGCCAAACUCGUGUCUUCUGUAAAAUGCAUUUUUGGGAGCUGUUCUGGCUCAUAUGUCCUCUUUUAUUUUAAAAUUAACGUCUAAGAGAAGAAAUCACAACCCCUGUUUCCUGUGCCAUCUCCAGCUUCCCACUAACCCAAGAGUUUAGGAGCAGAAAGAGACAAAGAAACAAACCUGAUUCUAAUCACUCUCUCUUUCCUUAACAGAGGUCCACUCCCCAAAAUAUAAAAUUAAUAUAUUUUUAGCCUAUACUAUUAUUACUUUAUACCAGCAAAAGAGUUUAUAUGAGCAAAGUAGACAUUUAAAAUUAAUUUUUUAAUAAAAGAUCUUUCAUUCUGUAGACAGUUAAAAUAAAACUCAAGGAGAAGAAAAACAGAGAUUAUUACAUACCACUUAGCAACCUAAGCUCAUAAACGAAAUAGCACUAUUCAGAAAUCUGAACUCUUCACCAUUUAGAAGAGCAUUUUUAAAAUAUCUGUGAAAGAUUCUCUUUCUAAUUCAUUUUCCAAAUCCCAUGCAUAUUUUAGAUGUGGGGGGGGGGACAAAAAUUCCAAAUAUUUAAUAGAAAUUCCACUCCCACCUUCAUUUUCCUUCAUAUUAAAACUAAAGUACAAUGAUGCCUUUACCAGAGAGAAAAAAAAAAUCACAGAUUUGUGAAACAUUCUAAGUACUGAAGUCUUUCUCUUUAGAAACUCAAAAACAGAGCAAGAGAGUAUCAAGCCAACAAAUCUGCAACAAAUAGUAUUUUUUAAUACAUAUAAAUUAGGUCU
RNAcentral lists this long non-coding RNA (5390 nucleotides) under Capra hircus (goat). RNAcentral's name for it is "lncRNA (ENSCHIG00010008190.1)". The record is from RNAcentral. Lineage: Eukaryota; Metazoa; Chordata; Mammalia; Artiodactyla; Bovidae.